This 492-nucleotide ribosomal RNA is filed under the name uncultured bacterium. Its description in RNAcentral is "partial 16S ribosomal RNA". It matches the Rfam family "Bacterial small subunit ribosomal RNA", at positions 29 to 507 of the family's 1533-position model. The record is from RNAcentral.
AGUGAACGCUGGCGGUAGGCCUAACACAUGCAAGUCGAACGGCAGCACAGUAAGAGCUUGCUCUUACGGGUGGCGAGUGGCGGCCGGGUGAGGAAUACAUCGGAAUCUACUUUUUCGUGGGGGAUAACGUAGGGAAACUUACGCUAAUACCGCAUACGACCUACGGGUGAAAGCAGGGGAUCUUCGGACCUUGCGCGAUUGAAUGAGCCGAUGUCGGAUUAGCUAGUUGGCGGGGUAAAGGCCCACCAAGGCGACGAUCCGUAGCUGGUCUGAGAGGAUGAUCAGCCACACUGGAACUGAGACACGGUCCAGACUCCUACGGGAGGCAGCAGUGGGGAAUAUUGGACAAUGGGCGCAAGCCUGAUCCAGCCAUACCGCGUGGGUGAAGAAGGCCUUCGGGUUGUAAAGCCCUUUUGUUGGGAAAGAAAAGCAGCAGGUUAAUACCCCGCUAUUCUGACGGUACCCAAAGAAUAAGCACCGGCUAACUUCGUG